UAAAGACCACAGUAGGCUCUGACAAUUGAAAGUCAAUGAUUCUGGCCUUGUUAGCAGACGCAAUAGAAAUAAACCUCAUUCAGCUUCCCAAUUUUGUCCAGUCAACAGCUCUAGAUUUUAUUUGUGUCAUUUUUUGUAAAUUCUUGGGGAAUGUUGAAAAUAUUGUAGCAAAAAGCACUGACUGCAUUGGAUUUCAGUUUGACAACUGAACUAAAUAGUUUACUGAAAGCCAAUCAGCUGUCGGACUCAACCAUCAUAGUACCUUUUUCCGUGAAGAAGUUCAACUAAACACCCUAUCAGAAUGUGCUGCGGACCUUGCUACUCGUGCUGCGGACCGUGCGGAGGAUGUUGCGGACCUUGCGGAGGAUG
Molecule: long non-coding RNA, 369 nt
Organism: Drosophila montana
Lineage: Eukaryota; Metazoa; Arthropoda; Insecta; Diptera; Drosophilidae
Exons: 3
Source: RefSeq, a predicted model, not a curated record